Molecule: ribosomal RNA, 329 nt
Filed under: Symbiodinium sp.
Lineage: Eukaryota; Dinophyceae; Suessiales; Symbiodiniaceae
Description: eukaryotic LSU rRNA
Source: RNAcentral
GAAUUGCAGAAGUCCGUGAACUUUGCGAAGCGCAUUGGGCUUUUCGGAUUUCCAGAUAGCAGGUAGGGUUCAGUGCUCAGCAUUAUCUACCUGUGCCAGCCAGCAGCAUGUCUACACUGCUGCGUUGCUUUCCAACAAGUCAACGAUGGCGUUUGUGGUAAUAAAUGGCUUGUUUGCUGCCUGCACCAUGCACCAAGCUUUGGAGCGUAGUGUCGUUCCAAGCUUAGAUUGCAUAGUACAGCUCAAGCGCGCAGCUGUUGGGAUGCUGAUGCAUGCCCUUAGCAUGAAGUCAGACAAGAGAACCCGCUGAACUUAAGCAUAUGGAUCCC